RNAcentral lists this ribosomal RNA (387 nucleotides) under uncultured Methanosaeta sp. RNAcentral's name for it is "bacterial SSU rRNA". It matches the Rfam family "Archaeal small subunit ribosomal RNA", at positions 955 to 1338 of the family's 1478-position model. Lineage: Archaea; Methanobacteriati; Methanobacteriota; Methanomicrobia; Methanotrichales; Methanotrichaceae. The record is from RNAcentral.
CGGGCUGAAGACUCUACUUUGACUAGCUGAGAGGAGGUGCAUUGGCCGUCGUCAGUUCGUACUGUGAAGCAUCCUGUUAAGUCAGGCAACGAGCGAGACCCACGCCAACAGUUUGCCAGCUCGUCCUCCGGGAUGGUGGGGACACUGUUGGGACCGCCUCUGCUAAAGAGGAGGAAGGAAUGGGCAACGGUAGGUCAGUAUGCCCCGAAUAUCCCGGGCUACACGCGAGCUACAAUGGUUGGUACAAUGGGUAUCUACCCCGAAAGGGGACGGGAAUCUCCUAAAACCAAUCUUAGUUCGGAUUGAGGGCUGCAACUCGCCCUCAUGAAGCUGGAAUCCGUAGUAAUCGCGUUUCAACAGAACGCGGUGAAUACGUCCCUGCUCCUU